RNAcentral lists this ribosomal RNA (498 nucleotides) under uncultured bacterium. RNAcentral's name for it is "bacterial SSU rRNA". It matches the Rfam family "Bacterial small subunit ribosomal RNA", at positions 10 to 507 of the family's 1533-position model. The record is from RNAcentral.
AGUUUGAUCAUGGCUCAGAUUGAACGCUGGCGGCAUGCCUUACACAUGCAAGUCGAACGGUAACGGGCCUUCGGGUGCCGACGAGUGGCGAACGGGUGAGUAAUGCAUCGGAACGUACCUUUCAGUGGGGAUAACGUAGCGAAAGUUACGCUAAUACCGCAUAUUCUGUGAGCAGGAAAGCAGGGGAUCGCAAGACCUUGCGCUGAUUGAGCGGCCGAUGUCAGAUUAGCUAGUUGGUGAGGUAAAGGCUCACCAAGGCGACGAUCUGUAGCGGGUCUGAGAGGAUGAUCCGCCACACUGGAACUGAGACACGGUCCAGACUCCUACGGGAGGCAGCAGUGGGGAAUUUUGGACAAUGGGGCAACCCUGAUCCAGCCAUGCCGCGUGAGUGAAGAAGGCCUUCGGGUUGUAAAGCUCUUUCGGCCGGGAAGAAAUCGCAUGGGUUAAUACCCUGUGCGGAUGACGGUACCGGCAUAAGAAGCACCGGCUAACUACGUG